ACGAAGAAGCUCUAGGUCCAAGACAGCAUUUUGCUCUCUGCCCCUCCCUCUGCUCCUUCCGCUCGCCACGACGACACACAGCGUCCUGGCCGGCUUGCUCGCCGCCGCGCACGUGCACCAAGUGGAAUGGUGCGCGUCGCUCCGUCGAGCUCGCCUUGCCGCGUCGUGCGUGUAGCCGAGGGCGGCUGCUGCACGCCAGCCAGCCGGCCACCCGGACGCGACGGCGGCAACAAGGGCACUUGUCCGCCACGCGGAUCUCGGCCGGGGAGCACGCAUCCACCUCCGUGGCAUUCCGGCGCAGCGCCUUGCUGAGGGAGUGGGACGCCUCGUCGUCUUCGUUCUCCGGCGGCACUGACCCACAUCGCCACCGGCGACCUCGUCCGCAUCCACCGGUCCCCUUGCCGUGCAGAUAUCAAAGAUGUGCAUGAGACCCCUUGCCUUCGAAGGUAGUCUGAUGGAUGAUAAUGAUCUGGGUAUUGAGUAGAGCGAGACGCCACUUGCUGCUACUGGGCUGCUAAACAUGGAAAUCAGAACAGCGUCGAGCCUGCUUGGAGCAAGGCAGGCAUGGAAGGCACAAUGGCCAUGAAGUGGGCUAGAUUCAUCUUGGAAUGAAAUGAACCUGUUGAUGUGUGUUAUGUAAAAUCAGGUUGUUUGCUUCUAGGAGUGUGGAUUGUGAUAUUGAGGAUUGCAGAGAGGGAGGGAGGGAAUGUCUAAUGUAUUUGUACAGCUAUACUAUGACUUGAAUAUGUAUUCGCCAUGAUUAAAAUUACAUAUUCUUUCUUUA
This is a long non-coding RNA of Lolium perenne, 784 nucleotides long. RefSeq lists it as uncharacterized. Lineage: Eukaryota; Viridiplantae; Streptophyta; Magnoliopsida; Poales; Poaceae. The record is from RefSeq and is a predicted model, not a curated record.